CCACUAAUGGAGAGGAACAGAGGGAAGGUUGGCAGCAGGGAUUGGUAUUAAACCUAACCACUAAUGGAGAGGAACAGAGGGAAGGUUGGCAGCAGGGAUUGGUAUUAAACCUAACCACUAAUGGAGAGGAACAGUGAGAAGGUUGGCAGCAGGGAUUGGUAUUAAACCUAACCACUAAUGGAAAGGAACAGAGGGAAGGUUGGCAGCAGGGAUUGGUAUUAAACCUAACCACUAAUGGAAAGGAACAGUGAGAAGGUUGGCAGCAGGGAUUGGUAUUAAACCUAACCACUAAUGGAAAGGAACAGUGAGAAGGUUGGCAGCAGGGAUUGGUAUUAAACCUAACCACUAAUGGAAAGGAACAGUGAGAAGGUUGGCAGCAGGGAUUGGUAUUAAACCUAACCACUAAUGGAAAGGAACAGAGGGAAGGUUGGCAGCAGGGAUUGGUAUUAAACCUAACCACUAAUGGAAAGGAACAGUGAGAAGGUUGGCAGCAGGGAUUGGUAUUAAACCUAACCACUAAUGGAGAGGAACAGUGAGAAGGUUGGCAGCAGGGAUUGGUAUUAAACCUAACCACUAAUGGAAAGGAACAGUGGGAAGGUUGGCAGCAGGGAUUGGUAUUAAACCUAACCACUAAUGGAAAGGAAAGGAACAGAGGGAAGGUUGGCAGCAGGGAUUGGUAUUAAACCUAACCACUAAUGGAAAGGAACAGUGAGAAGGUUGGCAGCAGGGAUUGGUAUUAAACCUAACCACUAAUGGAGAGGAACAGUGAGAAGGUUGGCAGCAGGGAUUGGUAUUAAACCUAACCACUAAUGGAAAGGAACAGUGAGAAGGUUGGCAGCAGGGAUUGGUAUUAAACCUAACCACUAAUGGAAAGGAACAGUGGGAAGGUUGGCAGCAGGGAUUGGUAUUAAACCUAACCACUAAUGGAAAGGAACAGUGAGAAGGUUGGCAGCAGGGAUUGGUAUUAAACCUAACCACUAAUGGAAAGGAACAGUGGGAAGGUUGGCAGCAGGGAUUGGUAUUAAACCUAACCACU
Oncorhynchus keta (chum salmon) is the source of this 1036-nucleotide long non-coding RNA. RefSeq lists it as uncharacterized. The transcript has 6 exons. Lineage: Eukaryota; Metazoa; Chordata; Actinopteri; Salmoniformes; Salmonidae. The record is from RefSeq and is a predicted model, not a curated record.